RNAcentral lists this unclassified non-coding RNA (384 nucleotides) under uncultured bacterium. RNAcentral describes it as "contains 16S-23S intergenic spacer region". The record is from RNAcentral.
UCCGGUUUGACACCGGCAGUCCCCUUAGAGUCCCCAGCAUAACCUGAUGGUAACUAAGGGCAAAGGUUUCGCUCGUUAAGGGACUUAACCCGACAUCUCACGACACGAGCUGUCGACAGCCAUGCAGCACCUGUACCAGUUGUACCCCGAAGGGCCUACCCGACUUUCAUCGGGAUAAUCCUGGCAAGUCAAGCCCAGGUAAGGUUCUGCGCGUUGCUUCGAAUUAAACCACAUGCUCCACCGCUUGUGUGAGCCCCCGUCAAUUCCUUUGAGUUUUAGCCUUGCGGCCGUACUCCCCAGGCGGAACACUUAACGCGUUGGCUUCGGCACAGGGGGAUUCGACUCCCCCCACACCUAGUGUUCAUCGUUUACGGCAUGGACUAC